GUCAUCGCGUGACGGCCGCGUCACCUAAUGGCGCCUGGCAAUGGCCGGCGGCCCCGGCCCUUCGCUGUCCCUCGGUCCUCGGGGUGUCAGGGACAGCUCCGCGUCGCCUUGUCUCGCUUCUUCGGGGCCACGGGUCCAGCUAGACACGCUUAGCCUUUAACACUCAAGCCGGAUUCUCAGACCGCUCCUUCGCUCUCGCGACCACGGCUGCCCUCUCCACCCCACCGACUCCCGCCCAUUUCCCGUUCUCAGGAGUUGGCUUGGAGUGCCAGACCCUCGAUCACGGCACCUCUAGGAAAGAGCCUGCCUCUCUUCCUUCCCUUCCCCGGCUACCGAGCGACUUCAAGUUUUCGUGCGCCGGAAUGACGGGCUCAAGCCCCAACCUCCUGCUCCCUCCGCCGCCGCCCCUGCCCCUCUGACUCUGCGCCUCUCCUGCUGCUCGCAAGCCUCUUCCCACUUCCUUGACUUUUAUAAACCUCUCUACUGCCUCCACGCCGACCCUCCAGGAUUACUUUUCUCCAGCACCUCUGGCGGUGGGCAGGGAAGAAGCUUCAUUGGCCAAACUUGUUAAUCCCACUUCAAAAGUUGCUAAACCAUUUGGAGCAAGUACUGAAAAUGUUCAGGGUCUAAAAGAGAGUAACUAUUGUGACAAUAACUUAAAAGAUAAUCUUCAUGUCCCAA
This is a long non-coding RNA of Homo sapiens (human), 681 nucleotides long. The record is from Ensembl. NCBI's taxonomy places the organism in Eukaryota, Metazoa, Chordata, Mammalia, Primates, Hominidae.